Molecule: small nuclear RNA, 105 nt
Organism: Schistocerca piceifrons (Central American locust)
Lineage: Eukaryota; Metazoa; Arthropoda; Insecta; Orthoptera; Acrididae
Source: RefSeq, a predicted model, not a curated record
GCUCACUUCGGCAGUACGUAUACUAGAAUUGGAAUGAUUGAGAAAAACUUAGAAAGACCCCUGUGCAAGGAUGACAUGUAACAUCAUAAAGAGUUCCAAAUUAUA